GCCUGGGUGGCUCAGUCGGUUGAGCAUCUGACUUUGACUCAGGUGUCACGGGUUCGACCCCCGUGUCGGGCU
Neofelis nebulosa (Clouded leopard) is the source of this 72-nucleotide non-coding RNA. The record is from the annotation of a RefSeq genome assembly. NCBI's taxonomy places the organism in Eukaryota, Metazoa, Chordata, Mammalia, Carnivora, Felidae.